CUACGGGGGGCAGCAGUGGGGAAUAUUGCACAAUGGGCGCAAGCCUGAUGCAGCCAUGCCGCGUGUGUGAAGAAGGCCUUCGGGUUGUAAAGCACUUUCAGCGGGGAGGAAGGCGGUGAGGUUAAUAACCUCAUCGAUUGACGUUACCCGCAGAAGAAGCACCGGCUAACUCCGUGCCAGCAGCCGCGGUAAUACGGAGGGUGCAAGCGUUAAUCGGAAUUACUGGGCGUAAAGCGCACGCAGGCGGUCUGUCAAGUCGGAUGUGAAAUCCCCGGGCUCAACCUGGGAACUGCAUUCGAAACUGGCAGGCUAGAGUCUUGUAGAGGGGGGUAGAAUUCCAGGUGUAGCGGUGAAAUGCGUAGAGAUCUGGAGGAAUACCGGUGGCGAAGGCGGCCCCCUGGACAAAGACUGACGCUCAGGUGUGAAAGCGUGGGGAGCAAACAGGAUUAGAUACCCUAGUAGUC
Molecule: ribosomal RNA, 464 nt
Filed under: uncultured Klebsiella sp.
Lineage: Bacteria; Pseudomonadati; Pseudomonadota; Gammaproteobacteria; Enterobacterales; Enterobacteriaceae
Description: bacterial SSU rRNA
Rfam family: Bacterial small subunit ribosomal RNA
Source: RNAcentral